This 253-nucleotide ribosomal RNA is filed under the name uncultured bacterium. RNAcentral's name for it is "partial 16S ribosomal RNA". It matches the Rfam family "Bacterial small subunit ribosomal RNA", at positions 524 to 776 of the family's 1533-position model. The record is from RNAcentral.
UACGGAGGGUGCAAGCGUUAUCCGGAUUUACUGGGUUUAAAGGGUGCGUAGGCGGGCUUUUAAGUCAGUGGUGAAAACCUCGAGCUUAACUCGAAAACUGCCAUUGAUACUAUUAGUCUUGAAUUUAGUUGAGGUUGGCGGAAUGUGUCGUGUAGCGGUGAAAUGCUUAGAUAUGACACAGAACACCGAUUGCGAAGGCAGCUGGCUAAACUAAAAUUGACGCUGAGGCACGAAAGUGUGGGGAUCAAACAGG